UCAGACGAUGCGUCAUGCAUAUCAAUAAGCGGAGGAAAAGAAACUAACAAGGAUUCCCCUAGUAACGGCGAGUGAAGCGGGAAGAGCUCAAAUUUGAAAUCUUAAAGGGUUUCCCUUUACGAAUUGUAGUUUAAAGAAGUGUUUUCUGUUGAGGUUUUGGUAAAAGUUCUUUGGAAUAGGACAUCAUAGAGGGUGAGAAUCCCGUAUUUGGUACCUUUACUUUCAACUUUGUGAUACACUUUCAAAGAGUCGGAUUGUUUGGGAAUGCAGUCCAAAAUGGGUGGUAAAUUUCAUCUAAAGCUAAAUAUUGGCGAGAGACCGAUAGCGAACAAGUACCGUGAGGGAAAGAUGAAAAGAACUUUGAAAAGAGAGUUAAACAGUACGUGAAAUUGUCAAAAGGGAAGCGUUUGACACCAGUGUUGUUUUUCUGAAAAUCAAUUAAAGAACUGUUUAUGCUUAGACUUUAUCAGCUAACUGUUUAGUUUUGAGCUUUUCUUUAAUGCACUUUUCAGUUAACAAGUCAACAUCAAUUUCUUUUGCUGUAAAAAGCUUGAGGAAGGUGGCUUGAGAUUCGUCUUAAGUGUUUAUAGCCUCUUGCCUAUGCAGUCGGAGAGAUUGAGGUCUGCAGCGUAGAUCCUUCGGGGCUAAAUGCAUUUGUGCUAAGUUAUAGCAUUUUAUAGACAACUUGUUGACUAUGAUUUGUCUUGUAGCUUACUCGCUUAUGUUAUUUUACCUACGCUUAGGAUGUUGAUCUACAGAGCGAGAGU
This 767-nucleotide ribosomal RNA is filed under the name uncultured Neocallimastigales. RNAcentral's name for it is "partial large subunit ribosomal RNA". It matches the Rfam family "Eukaryotic large subunit ribosomal RNA", at positions 18 to 631 of the family's 3401-position model. Lineage: Eukaryota; Fungi; Neocallimastigomycota; Neocallimastigomycetes; Neocallimastigales. The record is from RNAcentral.